Long non-coding RNA from Sebastes umbrosus (honeycomb rockfish), 417 nucleotides. RefSeq lists it as uncharacterized. The record is from RefSeq and is a predicted model, not a curated record. The transcript is spliced from 4 exons. NCBI's taxonomy places the organism in Eukaryota, Metazoa, Chordata, Actinopteri, Perciformes, Sebastidae.
CACUAGUAACGUUAGCUUAGUUAAGGACAGCUAGCAACUAGCUGAUGCUAGCGAGGCUUGUAUGGACAAGAAGCUUUCAAACAGGGAGGACGUUGUUUCUGACUGAUUGAAAUGAAUGCAGUCACAGAAACUUUUCCGGAUUUUGCUGCUUUGGUCCAUUGGUGGAAUUAUGGACAAUGAGGUCUUUCAAGCUUGUGGAGAACAUCUAUGCAGACACUGAGAUUUUCGAUCCUGAGGCUCUCAACAACCAUCAUCCAUUGACUGCAUACACAGUGGGAGGGAAGAUACUGGUGACCCCAAAAGUGUGCCUGCUGCAUUGAAGGGACGCAGAAUGGUCCAAGCUACGUAACGCAGGCUGCAUUGAGGUCAGCAUUAACCGGAGAAGAAGCGGUGAAGAUGAUGGUGCAGGUCCUUCUU